CAUAGAGAACUUCCAGUUCGCCAUGUUCUGUUUGCUGUGCCUCAUGUGCUUUGGCGAGAAGCUAGACGAGAAGGCCGUCAGGGACAUCAAGGACGCGCAGCGGAGCCGCCUCCUAUUCGCCAGCAAGCUCCGCGUGCUAAACUUCGUACCAUGUAUCUCAAGGCACCUGUUUCGCAAUCGAUUGAAGACGGCCAUGGAGAUGGGGGAGAGACGGACGCAACUUUACCUUCCCCUGAUCGAAGCCCGAAAGCGGUACAAGCAGCAGCACCUGCAAAAGAUGACGUCGAGCAAAGAAAAAGAAAGAUUCGUGGUUUCUUACGUGGAUUCCCUGCUCGACAUCGAGCUCCCGGAGGAAGGUGGAAGGAAGCUCUCUGACAACGAGGUGGUGUCCCUGUGCUCGGAGUUCCUGACCGGGGGCACGGACACGACGUCGACCGCGCUGCAGUGGAUUAUGGCGAACCUGGUGAAGCACCAAGGCAUUCAAGCAAAGCUGUGGGAAGAGAUCGAGCGGGCCGCCGCGGGGAGCGGCGAGGAGGAGGAUAUCAAAGCGGAGGACCUGCAGAAGAUGCCGUACCUGAAGGCGGUGAUCAUGGAGGGUCUGCGGCGGCACCCGCCCGCCCACUUCCUGCCCCCGCGCGCGGUGACGGAGGACGUGAGCCUGUGCGGGUAUCUGAUUCCCAGGGAGGCGACGGUCAACUUCUUCGUGGCGGGGAUGAACUGGGA
RNAcentral lists this long non-coding RNA (723 nucleotides) under Musa acuminata (dwarf banana). RNAcentral's name for it is "long non-coding RNA (MACU_LNC000335)". The record is from RNAcentral. Lineage: Eukaryota; Viridiplantae; Streptophyta; Magnoliopsida; Zingiberales; Musaceae.